Molecule: small nuclear RNA, 111 nt
Filed under: Leptinotarsa decemlineata (Colorado potato beetle)
Lineage: Eukaryota; Metazoa; Arthropoda; Insecta; Coleoptera; Chrysomelidae
Source: RNAcentral
GUACCUACUUACUUCGGUGGUACAUGUACUAAAAUUGGAACGAUACAGAGAAGAUUAGCUUGGCUCCUGCGCAAGGAUGACACGCAAAAUUGUGAAGCGUACACAUUUUUA